AUACGGAGGAUGCGAGCGUUAUCCGGAUUUAUUGGGUUUAAAGGGUGCGUAGGCGGGCUGGUAAGUCAGCGGUGAAACGCAGGUGCUCAACACCUGACCUGCCGUUGAAACUGCCGGUCUUGAAUGCGGAUGCUGUGGGAGGAAUGUGUGGUGUAGCGGUGAAAUGCAUAGAUAUCACACAGAACACCGAUUGCGAAGGCAUCUCACAAAUCCGUGAUUGACGCUGAGGCACGAAAGUGCGGGGAUCGAACAGGAUUAGAUACCCUGGUAGUCCGCACUGUAAACGAUGAUGACUCGCUGUCGGCGAUAGACAGUCGGUGGCCAAGCGAAAGCGAUAAGUCAUCCACCUGGGGAGUACGACCGCAAGGUUGAAACUCAAAGGAAUUGACGGGG
Molecule: ribosomal RNA, 393 nt
Filed under: uncultured bacterium
Lineage: Bacteria
Description: partial 16S ribosomal RNA
Rfam family: Bacterial small subunit ribosomal RNA
Source: RNAcentral